AGGAGGUUAUGUUCUUUCUCCAGGAUGGUGGAUUAUUAGGGUCAUGGAGCCUGACGCUGCCAGAACUUUUUUUCCCACCUCAUGGAAAGAAGAACUUCCUGGAAGGAAGGCAGGACUGAGAGUUGGAAUGAAAAUGACAGAGCCCUGUCCACACCGUUAAAGUACUCAAAUCCAGUAUGAAGAAAAUCUCCUAGUUCUACAAAUUGAGGACUAUGAUACAACGGUUGCAAAAAUGGUGUCUCCUUGAGGGUGCAUCUUUGUUCUCUCUGCACUCCAGAAAACCUGGAGAGAGGCUCUGGGUGUCUUGUCUUCAUCAGCAGCAUAGCGGCUAAAGGGGUCUCUGGAGCCUGGAUGGUUGGGUGUGACUCCUGGCUUUGCCACUGGCUCUCUGUGCUUACUUAACUUCCCUGUGUUUCAAUUUCCUUAUAUGGACAACGAGUCUAAUGUUACCACAUGCAAUAUUUUUGUAAACACUAAAUUUGUUCAUCUUGAAUUCUGCUUAGACUUGAUGAGUGCUUUAAAAGUCAUCCGCUGUUAUUAGUAAUUACAAGAGAGCUGAUUCAGAAAGUUGGAAGUAACUUGCACCAGAUUAAGUGGAUUUAAUCAUGAACACUAUCCCCAUGGGCAAU
Molecule: long non-coding RNA, 629 nt
Filed under: Homo sapiens (human)
Lineage: Eukaryota; Metazoa; Chordata; Mammalia; Primates; Hominidae
Description: non-protein coding lnc-TTC8-2:1
Source: RNAcentral